UCGCCGCCCUGUUAUAAGGCUGGAACUCUCGGUUGCUGGGUUAGUUUCUUGCUGAUCUCAACAGCAGAAAGUAUUCCAGGCCAGCCAAGAGUUUGCAGAGGGCGGGUGUUACGCUUCUCUGUCGCAGACAUGGUUCUCAACAUCGAAAUAACCUAUUGUAAUUCCUGAGGGUAUGCCAGGAAGUUCCACGAUCUCGAGGAAAAACUCCUAAAGGAGUUUCCUGAUGAACUUCAUAUCGUUGGGAAAUCAGUUGGUGGAAAUACUGGCUGCUUUGAGGUUGUAGUAAAGGAUUCAGACACCGUUCUGUUUUCUAAACUGGUUACGUGAAAAAAAAAGUAUUAAUGACGAGGUAUUUAAGACGAUAGUGACAGGAAUCAAAGCAGCCCUUAAUCAGUGAAUGCAGAAGAUGUAAUUCUCAGUUAAACAUACAUUUACCUGGUUCAUUGUGGCUGAACACUUAAUGAUGGAGAUGGCCAAAAUGUCUUCAAAAGGCACAGCUGUUCCCUGAUGUCCAUGUGGAAUGCUCCAGUGGCCAGGUUUUAUGGGGUUUGACUUGAGCUCAUUUUCAGCCAGUACCUAAUGUUUUUUCUCUCUUGACUCUUUCCCCUCCUCGACCACACCCCCCCCAGCAUCCAAGUACUCCCCCCCCGCAAUGCUGUACUACAAAAAUACAAACUCUAUGCAAUUAAAGGGCACCAUAUUCACCCAUUCCAUCUCCCCAGAGAUGCUGCCUGUCCCGCUGAGCUACUCUAGCAUUUUGUGUCUAUCUUCGGUUUAAACCAACAUCUGCAGUUCCUUCCUACAUUUUGUCUGCUCCACUGUGAAAUCUCAUGGUAUGUCUACUUUGAAGAAGUUCUCCUCCUCUCUCCGACGCGAGUUCUGCAACAUCCUCUCUUGCUGCUGCGCCUGUAAUUCCUCCUGCUCUCCGACUACGCCUUCUCCCAGCUAACAAUGAUCUAUUCUAUUUUCUUUGAUGUCCAUUCCCCUUGUCCUGUUUUCACACCUUACUCUUCUUUAUCUACCUCCCUCUCCUGACAUCAGUCAGAAGGGUCUCGACCCAAAACAUCACCCAUUCCUUCUCUCCAGUGAUGCUGCCUGUCUCGUUGACACAACUAUCUUCGGUUUAAACAAGCACUGGCAGUUCCUUCCUACACCAUAUUCCUUUCUACAGUCUUGUGGUGCCAAUUUUACUGACCUGCAAUGAGGGCUUCCAACUCCCCUAUUCAAGGAUAUACAAAUGUAACGGCUCUAAUUAAAAUUUGCACCCAGUUUUGUUCACCUUAAACAAACUGUUCGCCUUAAAUAAAAAAUUGCACUGAUCCUUGCAAUCAUCAUGCCUGCAAUCAUUUCCGUUUGAGACUGUGCAUUGUACUUCAGCAUUUUUGCA
Molecule: long non-coding RNA, 1387 nt
Organism: Amblyraja radiata (thorny skate)
Lineage: Eukaryota; Metazoa; Chordata; Chondrichthyes; Rajiformes; Rajidae
Exons: 6
Source: RefSeq, a predicted model, not a curated record